This 114-nucleotide ribosomal RNA is filed under the name Prolemur simus (greater bamboo lemur). The record is from RNAcentral. Lineage: Eukaryota; Metazoa; Chordata; Mammalia; Primates; Lemuridae.
GUCUAUAGCCAUAUUACCCUGAACGUGCCUUAUCUUGUCUGAUCUUGGAAGUUAAGCAAUGUUGGGCCUGAGUAGUACUUGGAUGGGAGAAAGUCUCUUUUAGUUCUAUUGUCA